CAAGAUGUAGCUUAGUUAAAGCGUCUCCCUUACUCUGAGGAAAAAUCUGUUGAACCCAGAUCAUCUUGA
Molecule: transfer RNA, 69 nt
Filed under: Bokermannohyla aff. pseudopseudis CFBH 5642
Lineage: Eukaryota; Metazoa; Chordata; Amphibia; Anura; Hylidae
Also listed under: 1 other name
Description: tRNA-Val
Source: RNAcentral